CUGAGAGAAGGCCGGCUCCUGUGCUCUGCACUCUGGCCCAGGGCUGCUGUUCCGCUGGCUGACGCCCUGUCCCCACCCCAGCAUGUCCUGCUUCCAGGCUGCUUGACCCGGCUGGGCUGGGUGCCUCUUCCCCACCCCCGCCCCAGUCUCCCGGGCCCCAUCCCAGCCUGGCCCGUCAUAACUGCCGAUCCCCAGAACUGUCCCUGGUGUGCAGCAGGCAUGCAGGGUGGGCCUGCAGAGCGAGGUCCCAGCACCGGCGGCAUCUGGCGCUGAACACAGGAAGAUGGGACGUUUGCUGAAUGAAUGCACGUCCCUGAUGAGGCCUGGACUUCGACGGAUGAAGGGGCUGGUGGGGUGGAGUCAGGGUUCCCCGAAAGCCCUGGGUGGAGAGGGUCCCCAAAGUGGGGUCAGACAGCCUGUGAGGCUCACAGUCCUGCCCUGCAGCCCUUUGGUUUGGACCAGGUGCCACCUCCCCAUCUCCCUGGCCCCAGCCCUCAGCUAACCAGCCCAUGCCACCGCCUGGAAAUGGGCCAGAGGGCAGUGGCGACCUGCCCAAGUCCACACGCAGGCCACAGGCCACACUCUGAACCCCGGGGCAGGCUCAGACGGGCUUUGCUCAGCCUGCCUUAGGGCAUAGAGGGAGACUGAGUCAGGGCCCUCCCAGGAAGGAUGGGUGUGCGGCCUUCCACGCUCGGGACUUUGGGCCACGAUGUCCACCCCAGGGUCUUCGCAGAGCAGCGGGAAAGGACCCUGCUGGCAGGCACAGUGCCCGUCUCUGCCCCCGGCUCUGCUCCAACCGCCCCCAGCCCAAGGGCGGCACGCCGCAGGGGGUCUGUGAUCCCCCCACGUCCCCGGCUCCUUUCACCCACACACCACACUGGGAGGCGGCAGCCCGAGGGCAGGUUUAUUGACAACCUCACGGGACACAAGCAGGCUGGGGACAGGACGGCGACAGGCUCCGGCGGCGGCGGCGGCGGCGCUACCUGCGGUACCAGAUCUGCAGCCUCCGCUCCCGCUUGAUCUUCCUCUGCAGCUGCAGGAUGCCGUAGAGCAGGGCCUCGGCCGUAGGUGGGCAGCCUGCAGGGACCUUGCCUCAGUCUCGCUUCCCGCAGCCGGAGCCCGCGUGACCGCGUGCACAGCGCAGCCGGCUCGGCUUUGGAAGGGUUUCCCGGGCCGGCCUCUGAAGGUGGAGGCUGACAGCCCUGGGUGGGCGCAGUGCCAGGGACUGGGAGCCGGCGCAGGGGAGGUCCCUGCAGGAAGAGUGGGGUCCUCCCCUGGGCAAGGCCCCACUGCCCUCCACCCGUGGCUCAUCCCGGGCUGUCACAGGGACCUCUCGGACAAGACGCUGACCUCACUAACCCGGCCCCCGGCCCCAGCCCUCAGGACUCAAUGGGGGCCAGCGCUCAGCAGACACACUUAGCAGUGGGGAGCAGGGCCCGGGGCUGCCCUGGACGGAGAUGGAGGCAGGGAGGCUGGGCGGAGGGAGGGGAGGUGGCCCAGAGCCCGGGCAUCCCACGAGGACCCGAUGACCCUCUUUCUGAGCCCCAAGCCAGAGCUCUUUGCUGGGGAUCCCCCAGUCCCGGCUGCCACGCAGGUUCAGAACAAAGGGCUUGAGCAAGAGGACGAAGCCCAGGGCCCAACGGGGACAGCAGGAGUGGAAACAGGUGAGAAAGGACAAGGCCACUGCAGGGCCUGGGAAAGGGCGGCCAGGCCCCACCUGGCAGAGCUCUGGCAAGUCCAGGCUGCUCCAAGGGAGGGAGAAGCACAGUCCGCAGGGAGGGAGCAGCACAGUCCGCAGGGAGGGAGGGAGGAGCGAGGUCCCCAGGGAGGGAGGAGCGCGGUCCGCUGGGAGGGAGGGGCGCGGUCCCCAGGGAGGGCCGAGCGCGGUCCGCAGGGAGGGAGGAGCGCGGUCCCCAGGGAGGGAGGAGCGCGGUCCGCAGGGAGGGAGGGAGGAGCACGGUCCCCAAGGAGGGAGGAGCGCAGUCCCCAGACAGGGAGCACAGUCCGCAGGGAGGGAGGAGCGCGGUCCCCAGGGAGGGAGGAGCUCAGUCUGCAAGGAGGGAGGAGUACAGUCCACACUCGCAACUUGCCCCAUUGGUCUGCACUGCAGGGGAAGACGCCAGGGGCAUGGGCAGAGCUCCUGACCCCAGGAUGGACCUCUCUGUGCUGUCAAGUCACAGGGAGGCCCAGGCUGCCCUCUCCACUGCCCCCGGGGUGACCUGAACCGUGCAGAACGCUGAACAAAUCAACGCCCUUUCCAGGGAAGCGGAAUCCAAAGUCAGAGCCUGUUCCUCCACUUUUGAGAGGCACCAGGAUGUGCCUCUCGCUUGCCCAAACCCCCAGACUCGGGACUCAGGGCUGGGCUCUCUGCGCAUGAGCUAAUGCCGCACGCAGCACAGGGUGGCCAAGAACAGGACUCUGUCCCCUGUCCCACAUGAGCGCCACCUCCAAGCCUGCCUACCGUGGACCACUGUCAAGGUGAACGCCCGGGGGGAUGGCCCUCGUGGGACCACGUGAGGUGCAAGAGUCCCACGGGAUCACCAGAUAUAAAGAAUGUUCCCGGUGCGAUGUGAAUUUCAGGUAUGCAGCCAAUGCUCUUUUUAGUGUCAGUAUAGCCCAAAUAUUGUUGGGAUAUACUCGUACUAAACAAUUACUACUAACAGUUUUCCUGAUGGUCAAAUUCACCCUAACCUCACAGUCAAACUAAGCCUCCCACGUUUUCAUUUGCCAAAUCCGGCCACCCCGGGUCCCAGGGAGUCCUGCGUGCCCUUCUGUAAGGCUGAGGGCGCGGGACAGUGUCCUUGGCCCCCAGGAACCUUCUCGCUUGGUAUUUCUAACUGCAGGUCUUUGGUUUGUGCCAGGUAGGACCAUAUGAAACUGCUGUAAACCAGGCGUGUGUCAGGAAUUCCACUCAGCUUCCCCUGCUCCCUCUGAUCCCUCUGAUGCCUGAAUACAUCGCCGACUUCUCACAGGGGACAGGCUCCACUAAGAGGCAGCGCUCCGAGUCGGCCCAUCCAUAGGAUGGGGGAGCCCGCCGUCUGCUGGGGGUGUGGGACUCCCUCACAGGGGCCGCCGGGCUCCGUGUGGCGCUGGCCCUGUCUCCAGCUCCCUCGUGGGCGGUGCGGUCCCGGCCCUACCUGGGAUGUAGAUGUCCACGGGCACGAUGCGGUCGCAGCCCCUCACCACCGAGUAGGAAUAGUGGUAGUAGCCUCCUCCGUUGGCGCAGCUGUUGGGGAGGCACCGUGAGGGGAGUGUGCCGAAGACCCGCCUGCCCACCCUCCCUCCACGAGGCCUCGCCCCAUCCCCACCCGCCUUCAACUGCAGGCCAGGCACCUACGAGGCUGGAACUUGUCACGGAGAAGCAAUGAGCAAACACGCACAGGCUCCCAGAGCCUCUGUGGGACCAGUGGGGCGCAAGCUCACACGUGGCUGAUAACUCGGGGAAAAGUGCUCCCCUCCCGAGGGGGCUCCUGACCACCGAUUCCCGGGGCUGGGAUGUGUCAGAUCACAUGUGUCAACAAAAAGCCACUUCAGACAGCCACAGUGCCAACACCCAGCCCCUGUCUAUGGGGCGGCUGAGCCUCACCCUCGCCUGAUUCCGGCUCUGUCAGUGAGGCGCUGGGGUCCACCCGGGGCAGGGAGCUGGAAACCCCAGGAGACCACACAGACUCCACUCCCAGCACUGCUUCCCACAGCCGUAAAAAUGGACAUACCCUGAAUGCCCAGCAGUGGGAGACGGUUAUGAAAACUCUGGAAUAUUCUAAUUAACUGUUUAGAAUUAGAUUAGUAAUAUGUCCACACAGUGGGAUAUUAUUCAGCCAAGAAAAGGCACGAGGCUCGGACACAGGCCACAGCACGGAUGCACCUUGAGGACGUCGCGCUCAGUGAGAGACGCCGGACACAGAAGGCCAUGCGGCGUGUGAUCCUGUUUCUGUGAAAUGUCCAGGACGGGCCCAUCCACAGAGACAGGGAGGGGAGGUGUGGGCACCGGGGCUCGGAAGGGGAUGCAGAGUGACUGCUGAUGGGGACAGCAUUUCAUUUGGGGGUGAUGAGAAUGUUCUGGAAUUAGAGGUGGUGGCCUAAAAACCACUGAACUGCUCGCUUUAAAAGGGUAAACUUAUCAAGACCUGAUCUCUACAGAAAUUUUAAAAAGUAGGCACAGUGGAGUACAUCUGUAAUCCCAGCACUCUGAGAGGCUAAGGUUGGGGGACCGCUUGAGCCCAGGAGGUCAAGGCUGCAGUGAGCUAUGACUGCACCACUGCACUCCAGCCUGGGCAACUCAGUGAGACUCUGUCUCU
Molecule: long non-coding RNA, 4298 nt
Filed under: Homo sapiens (human)
Lineage: Eukaryota; Metazoa; Chordata; Mammalia; Primates; Hominidae
Description: non-protein coding lnc-GAMT-1:2
Source: RNAcentral